Molecule: ribosomal RNA, 305 nt
Filed under: uncultured bacterium
Lineage: Bacteria
Description: bacterial SSU rRNA
Rfam family: Bacterial small subunit ribosomal RNA
Source: RNAcentral
GUGCCCUACGGGAGGCAGCAGUAGGGAAUCUUCCGCAAUGGACGAAAGUCUGACGGAGCAACGCCGCGUGAGCGAAGAAGGCCUUCGGGUCGUAAAGCUCUGUUGUUAGGGAAGAACAAGUAGCGCAGUAACUGGCGUUACUUUGACGGUACCUAACGAGGAAGCCACGGCUAACUACGUGCCAGCAGCCGCGGUAAUACGUAGGUGGCAAGCGUUGUCCGGAAUUAUUGGGCGUAAAGCGCGCGCAGGCGGUUCCUUAAGUCUGAUGUGAAAGCCCACGGCUCAACCGUGGAGGGUCAUUGGAA